AAACGCGAUACACUGACAGAUACAUGGAAGGCCUCACACGCCUCGCCGUCCUUUACCUCUGCCCCCUCGUACGACAGCGCCAUGGAUGUGGCCGGACCCCCACCUCGUCGUCCUGCAUCUAUGGCUACAUGCCCUCCCCCAUAGCAUUCUUGUCAUGUGCAGUGCAGCCCGUGCCUACCAAUUCGAAUCUGAAUCUCACUGCUUUCCUUCUUUUUCCUCAAGCGUUUUCACUCUUCAAGGACCGGUUCACUCCAUUGAAGAUCUGAUUGGUGAUUUCAUGAUAGAUGGAGGCCGAAAUCGUUUUGUUGAUUUGCUCCAGGAUGGAGUCAAGCUCUUCUCGGUCACUUCCGCACGGCAGCCGGCAGGUGGCACUGCGAGCAGGGGCGGGCUGCGGUCGAGUAGGGAGUCAAGCGGAGGUAGUCAAGAGGCAGCGGCGCUAGGAUAUGUCGCAGGAUCCGCCGCCAUUAACGGAUGUUGGCUAUCGGUAUGGAUCAGUUGUCCCCCGACGAGGGGCGCCUCCGUGCCCGCCGUCGCAGCCAUGUCCGCAUAGACCACGACCGCCGGAUCCUUUUUAUACUUCUUUUUUCUUCUGCACCUCGUAUUUAAAUUGCACAGGAUGCUGACAGAUAUUCCAAUGCGGUCUGUGUUGCAUUAUCUGGAAGCUCGUGUUAAGAUUCUGCUCCUUCUUUUAAGCAAGAAUUUGUGUAGGGUUUAAAAAAAUUGCUCCGCUCGCCGAUGCAUGUUUUUGUUCAUUUGGGUGCUGAAUUUGUUUUUUGUUUUUACCUAAAGUUUGUCAGGAAAAUAGGCUGUCGUAUCUUCCAUGAUUGUACAUCUCGAAGAUCUUCAUUUUUGCUGGCGUUCUUGGAUGAAGGGGUUUGAGCAGAGAAUGCUAGUGCAGAUGGAUUACUUUUUAUGGGAGCCAACCAACAUAUCAUUGCAUCUUUGGCUUCCAACUCACAACUGGUUCAGCUGCUGAUACUGCAAGUCCUGCCUGAAGUUCAGAGAGGUUGUCAGAGGAAGAGAAUUGCUCAAAUAGCUGGACAAUGAUAACUUGCCAUUGAAGAACUGAGUUUGCUCUACCAAAGAAUGCUGCUGAUCUGUUUAAUAGAUAAUCCUGGCAAGCAUCAUGAAGACAACACUACAAAUCUAGAACAACACCUGGUCGAUAGAAGCUUUUGCUACUGUUGGAUUAGCAAUUGCCGCGGCCGCAUCGUUUUCCUCGACACUAACUUCCCAAGGUCUCGGGAGAAGAGGCUUCAGUGAUGGCAUUGGAUCGAGCACCGGAGCCAGGAUUCUGCUGGAAAAAGCACCGUCAGAAUGCAAUAUUUCGGAAGAUCAAGAGUUGACGGAAAUUAUACCAAAAAUCCUAUUUUUCCAGAUGACGAAGUGAGCCAGAAGGGGGAGCUGAGGGGACCCGAGGUGGGCCCACCCCAUAGGCCGGCGCGGCCCAAGGGCUGGCCGCGCCGCCCUGUGAGGAGGGGGGCCCACAGCCCCUCUCGCCUCCUUUUCUUCGCGAACUCCUUCGUCCCGAAGACCUAAGCUCCAGAGGGUACCUCGCGAAGAGUUACAGCCGCCUCUGCGAGGUGGAGAACACCAGAGAGAAAAGAGCUCUCCGGCGGGCUGAGAUCCGCCGGGGAAAUUCCCUCCGGGAGGGGGAAAUCGACGCCAUCGUCACCGCCGUAGCAAUUUGGGUUUGAUCUUGAUUGUUUGAUAGGGGAAACUCUUCCGGUAUUGAUUUCUACUUGUUAUUGAUGCUAUUGAGUGAAACCGUUGAACCAAGGUUUAUGUUUAGAUUGUUAUUCAUCAUCAUAUCACCUCUGAUCAUGUUCCA
Lolium perenne is the source of this 1831-nucleotide long non-coding RNA. RefSeq lists it as uncharacterized. The record is from RefSeq and is a predicted model, not a curated record. NCBI's taxonomy places the organism in Eukaryota, Viridiplantae, Streptophyta, Magnoliopsida, Poales, Poaceae.